GGGGCCGUCCCGGAAGAGUGGCGGCAGCUGGGGGCCGGCCGGCAGCCCCGGCGAGGGGAUCGAGUUCCGGCCCCCUACCUACGGCUUUGCCCCGUCCGUCGGCGGUUCCUGGCCCCGCCAUGAGCCAACCGGUCACCGCCGCCACCUACGUCCGCAGUUUGCGCUACGGGCUGCUGAGGCAGCUGGCCGACCUCCUGGACCCGCAGGAGGGCUGGAAGCGGCUGGCCGCGGCCAUCACCGACCCGGCCGGCGAGAGCAGAUACAGCCAGGCGCACAUCAGGAGAUUUGAAGCGUUUGUGCAAAUGGGGAAGAGUCCCACGUGUGAAUUGCUUUAUGACUGGGGAACAACAAAUUGUACGGUUGGUGACCUUGUGGAUCUGCUGAUUAGGAACCAGUUUCUGGCACCAGCAAGUCUUUUGCUUCCAGAAGCUGUCGGGAUGGCACAAGAAGUUACGUUACCUCUUUCUUCACAGGAAACUUUGCCUGUAUGUGAGAAACAACAGCCUAUACAGGAAAAAGAAGUGACAUCUGUAAAGCCUGUUUUGUCUCAGAACACAGAGAAGCAACCUUCAGCCCCUCCAUGUUUAAGUCAAGAAAUCAGCAGCACACAGUCUAGUAACACAGAUUUCCACAAUUUUUGGUUUCACGACUUGGAAAGUGUUACAAAUAAUUUUGAUGAACGACCAGAAUCAGCUGGAGGAAAUAAGCUGGGGGAAGGUGGCUUUGGCAUUGUGUUCAAAGGCUACAUCAAUGGCAGAAACGUGGCUGUCAAGAAACUUGCUGCUGUGGUUGAUGUUAGUGCACAGGAUUUGAAACAGCAGUUUGAUCAAGAAAUAGAAAUUAUGGCAAAGUGUAAACAUGAAAAUCUGGUAGAAUUGCUUGGUUUCUCAAGUGAUGGUGCUCAGCCCUGUUUGGUGUAUGAAUACAUGCCCAAUGGUUCGCUGCUUGACAGACUUGCUUGUCUGGAUGGCACUCCACCUAUUUCUUGGAACACAAGGUGUGAAAUUGCUCAAGGUACUGCGAAUGGCAUCAACUUUCUGCAUGACAAUAAUCAUAUUCACAGAGACAUUAAAAGGUUGACAAGGAGCAGCCAAUGGGUUGGGUGUCAUGGAUGAAUAUUUCAGUGGCUUUCUGGCUUCUGACACCUCUGCUAAAUCUAGGCUGCAUAGGCUUUGUGAACUUCCAUUCUGUGAGGAAGUAGUUUUUGCUUCAGCUCACCCGUAAAAGUGCAAAUAUCUUAUUAACUGAUACGUAUGUGCCCAAAAUUUCGGACUUUGGACUUGCAAGAGCAUCAGUAACAUUCACACGAACCAUCAUGACAGACAGAGUUGUGGGAACAGCAGCCUAUAUGGCACCUGAAGCUCUGCGAGGAGAAAUAACGCCUAAAUCCGAUAUCUUCAGCUUUGGGGUAGUCUUACUAGAAGUAAUAACAGGUCUGCCACCAGUAGACGAAAACCGGGAGCCACAGUUACUGUUAAGUAUCAAGGAUGAAAUUGAGGAUGAGGAGGCGACUAUAGAGGAUUAUGUUGACGUAAAGAUGAGUGACUGGGAUGCAACUUCAGUUCAUAAAAUGUACUCACUUGCUGAUCAGUGUCUGAAUGAGAAAAAAAACAGGAGGCCAAACAUGAAGAUGGUCCAGCAGUAUUUACAAGAGAUAAAAACGUGACAUGCAUUUCUGAUACACCUGUUUUCUGAAUGGAGUGCCGACCAGCAGCAAGUAGAGAAUUUUAUUAGCACUUACUGUGACAUUAUCAGCCUUCCUGCCUUCCAGAACUUUCUGGUCCGCAUGUAAGGCAUGCAGGUGGCUUGUCAUCGUCAUGCUAUUUUUCUUAAUUUAUUUGUUAACUGGGCAUCUUUUCAUCCAACUGUAGCCACAGAACCCUCAACCUGAGAAAGCUUUUUUUCUGUUUUUUUGUAUACGUAGGUUUUUAAACACGUUUCUGUAUUGCCAUCUCUCUGACUUUUCCUUGCCAAGUAUCUUCAGCAAAGCAAUGUGAUAGUAACAAGGUGGAUGUUUUUCUGCAAUUCUUUUUCUUGAGCAGACCUACUAGACCUUUCUUUACUGAAGACCAAAAUGUUUAGUAGACGUAAGUAGCAUUUACAUUAUCUCGUUGGCAGAAGGCAGUAGCAGUACCCACAUUUAAACCAACUUAGCAUUUUAGCUUGAGAGUUCAUAUGAGUGUGAACAAACUGGUAACACCCAUGAACAUGAGUAUUUUUUAGAAAGCCUUCUCAGGAUUUGUUUCAGUCAGAUAAGCGCUGCAAAAGAUCUUUUAGGUUUAGAGGUCUUGCAGGCAGAGCAAUUACAUCACAGCGCAAAUGCGGAAAUGUGUGGCUUUCUUCUGGUGAGCUCUGCUGAUGAACCAUUUAAUCAUUGUUCAGAGGAAGACUUAUAGUUACUUCUUAUUUUUUGUGUUAGGAGAAGAGUCCUUGUGAGAUACUGCAAAUAUUGACAGUUUAUUUUGUUAAAGGAGUCAAUGUUAGGACUAAUUCUGCAUUCUCCUUGGUCAAAUCAUUAAGCUCUUACGUGUAUGCAUAUUAAUGAAGUAUUAAAAUACACAAAAUUACUGC
RNA transcript from Gallus gallus (chicken), 2571 nucleotides. It is a transcript of the gene named interleukin 1 receptor associated kinase 4, with no coding region annotated. The record is from RefSeq and is marked validated. Lineage: Eukaryota; Metazoa; Chordata; Aves; Galliformes; Phasianidae. The transcript has 12 exons.